RNAcentral lists this ribosomal RNA (253 nucleotides) under uncultured bacterium. RNAcentral describes it as "partial 16S ribosomal RNA". It matches the Rfam family "Bacterial small subunit ribosomal RNA", at positions 524 to 776 of the family's 1533-position model. The record is from RNAcentral.
UACGGAGGGUGCAAGCGUUAAUCGGAAUUACUGGGCGUAAAGCGCACGCAGGUGGCUGAGUCAGUCGAUUGUGAAAGCCCUGGGCUUAACCUGGGAAUUGCAGUCGAUACUACUCAGCUAGAGUAUGGGAGAGGGCAGUGGAAUUCCCGGUGUAGCGGUGAAAUGCGUAGAUAUCGGGAGGAACAUCAGUGGCGAAGGCGACUACCUGGCCUGUUCUUGACGCUGAGGCGCGAAAGCUAGGGGAGCAAACGGG